RNAcentral lists this unclassified non-coding RNA (766 nucleotides) under Hevea brasiliensis (rubber tree). The record is from RNAcentral. Lineage: Eukaryota; Viridiplantae; Streptophyta; Magnoliopsida; Malpighiales; Euphorbiaceae.
AAUAUCCCACAUUGGUUUGGGAUAUGCGUAAUGUGUCCUUUUGCUUUGGGCACUCCUCCUCUUUGAGCUAGCUUUUAGGGAAGAGUUAGGUCCGGCCCAUUUUUUUUAAAGUUUAUAUCAAGUGUUAUACCAUUGUUUGGUAGAACAUAAAAAAUGAUGUAACAUAUCUAUGAUUAUAUUACAAUUCUUUUUUGCUUUUGGGGUUACUAGGAGAAUAUCUAGGGUAAUAUAAUGCCCAUUGUUUUAUUAUUACUUUAGCUAAUGCAAUGCUCAUUUCAAUUCCAUACAAAGCCUUGUGUAAUAGUUCACUCACUUUAACUUUUUUUUUUACUUACGCUCCCAUCAUCUUGCUGCUUACCCCCACCACUUUGCUGUCACUGCCACCUCUUUACCAACACUACCAGAUAAACUCAACAUGACUUCAAUUUUAUUUUCAAAAUGGAUUGGCCUUUACUUUUCAUAAUGUUCCUCAUUCUGUUAAUUUCUUAUUACCAUAGCCUAUGUUCAUCAACUCAGUUGGAUAUAAGUAGACUCCUGUCUUACCUGGGUCCCAAGGAGCACUGCAAUGUAGAAGUUGCAAACAUGCUUAUUUUGAACUCAUUUUAGUAGAUUUGUACUAUCUUUCAAAAUGUGUGUUGGAUUGCAAGAGUAAGUAUUCAUUAAAUGCUUGGUAAAAACUAAUAGUUUCCUGCGGUGCCAAAAUGGUUAUAGAAGUAAGAAUGCAGUUUAUGUAUUUAAGUACUGAUUCUUUAUUUCCUGGAUCGCA